Molecule: ribosomal RNA, 381 nt
Filed under: Triticum aestivum (bread wheat)
Lineage: Eukaryota; Viridiplantae; Streptophyta; Magnoliopsida; Poales; Poaceae
Description: partial small subunit ribosomal RNA
Source: RNAcentral
AUGAGCGCCAUGGUCGCGUCGUCGCUCAACCCUGAGGCCCCGCUCUUCAUCCCGGCAGCGUUCCAGCAGGUGGAGGACUUCUCGCCGCAGUGGUGGGACCUCGUCAAGUCCACCGCCUGGUUUCGCGACCACUGGUACCACCAGCACCAGCAGCUCGACGAUAUGGCCGAUUCCCUCAUCGCCUUCGAGGCCGAGGACGCCAUCGACGACGACCUCUUGCACGGCUUCGCCGUCGAGGCUUCGCAGCCGCAGCCGCCAGCGGCACUCAAGACUGACGGGGUGCUCAAGGCGCUGAGCCUGGCAUCCCCAAGCCCAAAGGUCGGCGACGCCCUGCGUGUCUCCUCGGAGAAGCCUAGGUACACCGAGAAGCCCACCAAGUAG